AACGAACGCUGGCGGCGCGCCUAAUACAUGCAAGUCGAGCGAGAAGACGUAGCAAUACGUUUGUAAAGCGGCGAACGGGUGAGGAAUACAUGGGUAACCUACCCUCGAGUGGGGAAUAACUAGCCGAAGGUUAGCUAAUACCGCGUACGCUCCUUGGACUUCGGUUCAGGGAGGAAAGCGAUACCGUGGGUAUCGCGCUCUUGGAUGGGCUCAUGUCCUAUCAGCUUGUUGGNGAGGUAACGGCUCACCAAGGCUUCGACGGGUAGCUGGUCUGAGAGGACGAUCAGCCACACUGGCACUGCGACACGGGCCAGACUCCUACGGGAGGCAGCAGUAAGGAAUAUUGCGCAAUGGGCGAAAGCCUGACGCAGCGACGCCGCGUGGGGGA
This 388-nucleotide ribosomal RNA is filed under the name uncultured bacterium. Its description in RNAcentral is "bacterial SSU rRNA". It matches the Rfam family "Bacterial small subunit ribosomal RNA", at positions 29 to 408 of the family's 1533-position model. The record is from RNAcentral.